This is an RNA transcript of Spinacia oleracea (spinach), 3189 nucleotides long. RefSeq lists it as uncharacterized. The transcript has 8 exons. Lineage: Eukaryota; Viridiplantae; Streptophyta; Magnoliopsida; Caryophyllales; Amaranthaceae. The record is from RefSeq and is a predicted model, not a curated record.
CUAUUCAACUGUUCACACCCGACUUUCCUCUUCCAUCAUUAAUUUACAGAUUACCGAUUACGGAGUUUUAAACUUUUGUUUUUCUCUCACCUCCAUUUAUCAGACUAUCACUAUCAACUUUUUCAUCUUCCUGAAACGUUCUUGUAAAUUUUCGUUGAUAUUAGGGUUUCAGUUUUCGAAACUAUCCAUGUCUAUUCCAGAGCAAACUUCAAACGACAUUAAAGUUGCUAGGUUGUCACUGCAAAAACUUGGCGAAACGUUUCAGGAUUUCCGGAAUCACUCCUUCUCAAUCCUUACGCUCAACAAGCAAUGGCAAAAUUUACAGACUUCUCUCGCAACAAUUUCCAAUUCGCUGGAGGAGAGAGUCAAGGGAGACGAGUCAAAGCAGAGAGAAAUUGACAUGGCUUGGAAUAGACUUCAGAAUUCCCAGAAGGAUGUUGAAUUGCUGAAGAGGAAAUUGGAGUUUGGGGAAAAGUCGUUGAGUGAAAGGAUUGAAGGUUUGGUGUUGAAGGAGAAGCAAGUGAGUGAGUGGCGCGAGUCUUUGGAAUUGGAGAAGGGAGCGGUUUUGGACCGUUUAAAUGCGGUUAAGUUGAGGGAGAAGCGAUUUGAGGAGGAGUUCGAGCGAGUUAGAGCGGUGGAUGUUGAGGAAGAGAGGGUUGAGGCAAGGCGGAAGGCGGUGGAGGAGAGAGAAAUGGGAGUGAAGAAUAGAGAAUUGAAAGUGGAGGAGAGAGAAAUGGAGGUAGAGAAGAGAGAGAAGGAGAUGCAGGUAAAAUUAGAAGAGGAGAAGAAAUUGUUGGAAGUGAAAGAGAAGCAAAUAGAUGAGUUGUACAAUGCAGUUGAGUUGAAGCGGGAGGAGAACAAUGUGAGAAGCGAAAUGUUGGUAUCGAAAGAGAAUAUUUUAGGAUUGAGGGAGGCCCAAAUUAAGGAGCAAUUGAAGGGACUAGAGUUGAAGGAGCAGGAGAUUGAUGAACGUUCUCAAGUGUUAGACGCGAAAGAGAAGCGAAUUGAAAUUCUCACUUGCGAACAAGCAAAAGGCAGGGAACGUACUCAGCUACAGGCGUCCAGUGAGAUUCAAUUGUUGUGCAGAAAUAUGGACACCAAAGGCAUGGGGUCAUACCUAAUUAAGCAUUACAAGGAACACAGUACGCUUACAUAUAUUAUUUCUUCUGCUAUUCACUUAACACCAGAGCCAGCGAAGUUUGUUCUUGAUGUGAUUCAGAGUUUAUACGAGUUGCUUGAGUCAAAAAGUGUAUCAAGACAAAUUUAUAGUGGUAGUUGCUUGUUUUUGUCAGUAACAGUGAUGGAAAUGGCUACUAUUACAAAAUGUUUAAAAGACGAUGCAUUGAAGUUCAGUAUCACGUGGAGAGAGUUUUUGGAUAGGCAGGGUGUUACUAAUUGUAUGGAGAUUUUUUCCUUCCUGUGGUUUUUAGCAUCAUACAAGUUAGCAGAGCUAUAUGAUGCGGAUGAACUACUCUCACUUCUUGGGACAUUUUAUACUGAAAGUGGGGAUUUUCAGCAUGUGACCGACGUUCGUUUGUGCAGGAAAUUGGGAUUGGUGAACAAAAUUCCAGUUAUCUCCCCCCUUGAAGGUCAUAUCCAAUCUCUUAUUGAGAGAAAGGAACAGCUUAGAGCAGUUACAUUUAUAUGUGUAUUUAAGAUGGAGGAUGCUUUUCCACCAGUUCCUCUACUGAAAGCUCGUUUCGAGGGCAUCCAGAAGAGAUUGCAUGAAAUGGUCAAGAAAGGCAGUGAUGCAGCUCAGAAUGAUGCUAUCAACAUGGAAUUGUGCUCUCUCGAAGCCAUACUUCAAUGCAUUUCUAAGUUCAAGCUUGAGUACGAUUGUGUUCAGUUAGCACCCAAUCCAGCAAAUUUUGCUCUUGAUGUGAUUCAAAGUCUCUACAAGUUGCUUGAGUCAGAUGGUGUGUCAAGACAAUUUUUUACAAGUAGAUGUCUUACUUUCUCAUCAGCAGUAGUGAAAAAUGGUACUACUAUUACACAAGGUUUAAAAGACGAUGCGAUGGAGUUCAGUAUAAAGUGGAGAGGCUUUUUGGCUAAGCAGGGUGAUGAUACUCACUAUAUGGAGAUUUUUUCCUUCCUGCUCUUUUUAGCCACAUACAAGUUAGGAGAUUUAUAUAAUAAAGAUGAACUACUUUCACUCUUUGGGACCCUUUAUGUUGAAACUAAAGUUCAGCUUUCUGGACAAGACGACCUUUUGCGCCAGAUCUUGGGAUCGGAGAAGGAAAUUCCAGCUCAUAUCCAAUCUCUAAUUAAGAGGGAGGAUCAGCUUACAGCAGUUGCAUUCAUAUGUGUAUUUAAGAUGGAGGAUGCUUUUCCACCACUUCCUCUACUGAAAGCCUAUUUGGAGGGCAUCCAGAAGCGAGUGCACGACAUGAUAAAAAAAGCAAGUGAUACAUCUCAGAUUGAUGCUAUCAACAUGGAGUUAUCUUCUCUCAAAACAGUACUUAAAUGCAUUUGCAAGUUCAAGCUUGAGUCCAGCUUUUCACCUGCUCCUCUGGAGUUGCGCAUAAAGCAGUUGGAGAAGGACAUGGAAGGAAAGACUAAUGCUGAAAGCUUAUCGACAGUAAACGAGGACCUUACAAACUCGAAAAACAAGGGAGUUGCUCUUCCUGGCAUUGAUCAGUCUCAUAUGUUGAUUGGGAAGAAAAGGAAAGCGUCUUAAGAUAGUGCCAACGGUCUUGUGAAGUCCGUUGAGCAGCAACAACCGCACAUUAGGGCAGUUGUUAUUUGUUGAGCAGCCAGGUACAUCACAACAACACCAGCAGGGAUAUGGAGCAGUGGCUCAGGGAAUUCUCCAUGACGAACAUAAUUCUCAACAUCAACACCUUGUUCACCCUCAUCAUCAAUAUAUAUAAUCCACAGCAUCAACUGCAACGGCCUGGAUGCGAAGAGGGUACGAGUAGAAAUACCAACUUUUUUGGAGUUGAUUUGUUUUUGUUUCACAAGAUUCAGUCCCAAGGGGAUUGGAUGCAUAGGAUUAAAUGCGUGCAGUAGUAUAAUAUACGCAAUGGACAGUAGAAACAGAGGUGAAAAAAGAGAUUUUAGACAUUAGUCAUCUGAAUUUUUGUAAGGCUUUUGUGUCUUUUUUUUUUUUUUAGUAAUGAUCGAGAUAGUUAUGGAAUUAAAAGCUAUUUUUAUCCUAUAAUAUGAUCGAGUUAGUUAUGGAAUUAAACC